RNAcentral lists this ribosomal RNA (377 nucleotides) under uncultured bacterium. RNAcentral describes it as "bacterial SSU rRNA". It matches the Rfam family "Bacterial small subunit ribosomal RNA", at positions 523 to 898 of the family's 1533-position model. The record is from RNAcentral.
AUACGUAGGAUGCGAGCGUUAAUCGGAAUUACUGGGCGCAAAGGGUGCGUAGGCGGUUUUGUAAGUCAGAUGUGAAAUCCCCGGGCUUAACCUGGGAAUGGCGUUUGAAACUGCAAGGCUAGAGUGUAGCAGAGGGGAGUGGAAUUCCGCGUGUAGCAGUGAAAUGCGUAGAUAUGCGGAGGAACACCGAUGGCGAAGGCAGCUCCCUGGGCUAACACUGACGCUCAUGCACGAAAGCGUGGGGAGCAAACAGGAUUAGAUACCCUGGUAGUCCACGCCCUAAACGAUGUCAACUAGUUGUCGGGCCUAAUUGAGGGUUUGGUAACGUAGCUAACGCGUGAAGUUGACCGCCUGGGGAGUACGAUCGCAAGAUUAAA